Molecule: ribosomal RNA, 254 nt
Filed under: uncultured bacterium
Lineage: Bacteria
Description: partial 16S ribosomal RNA
Rfam family: Bacterial small subunit ribosomal RNA
Source: RNAcentral
UACGUAGGGUGCAAGCGUUGUCCGGAAUUAUUGGGCGUAAAGAGCUCGUAGGCGGUCUGUCGCGUCGGACGUGAAAACCCAGGGCUCAACCCUGGGCCUGCGUUCGAUACGGGCAGACUAGAGUUCGGUAGGGGAGGACUGGAAUUCCUGGUGUAGCGGUGAAAUGCGCAGAUAUCAGGAGGAACACCGGUGGCGAAGGCGGGUCUCUGGGCCGAAACUGACGCUGAGGAACGAAAGCAUGGGGAGCGAACAGG